This 2541-nucleotide long non-coding RNA is filed under the name Triticum aestivum (bread wheat). RNAcentral's name for it is "long non-coding RNA (TAES_LNC016162)". The record is from RNAcentral. Lineage: Eukaryota; Viridiplantae; Streptophyta; Magnoliopsida; Poales; Poaceae.
ACGGAAGCUUGUAACAUCACGGGUUUCUUUGAUGAUAGUGAAUGUGAAGUAGGAUUGUAUUGUAUCUUCGUUUAUAGAUAUUUUUUAGUUACAACUCAAUACCAAAUUCUACAGUAGGGGUUCUUGUGGCAUCAACAGCUAUUGUAAUAAUGAAUGUAUAUUACGAUUGUAUUGUGCCCUUCGGUGUUUUCGUAUUUAUCAUGCAUACACAACAAAUCAUGAAAAUAAACUACAUUCGGCAUACUCAAAUAACACUGGGGUCUGGGACUAUUUUAUGGUGUUGUCGAUAUACUUUGUGAUUUAAAGUUACUGAUCUAUGGUCUGGUGUCAUAUUAUGGUCUAAUAUUUUUUGUUUUGAUUCUUUCUCUGUUGCCAGGAAUAGAUGUCGAUGAUGCCUACUUGCUUGCCAGCUACAGUGAUGCAUGGACCGGUGAAGCAAGCACACAUGCAAGGCUAGCCCCAUGUAUCUUCCUUGGGUGCAAACAUCAUCUACAAGUAUGAAAAAUGUAACACCUCUCUGUGUUGUUUUGCUCCUCUUCUCUCUGCAUCCGAGAAAAUUGGUGCUUAAUAUGCUAUUGAUUUACAGUGUCUGUUAGUUAACACCAAGCCUAAACUAUUGCUUUGUUUUUCCUCUUUAUGCCCCAAGUUUUACUAGCAACAAGCUCAACUUCAUGCUUUGUAGGAAAUAAGUACAUGAUUGUUUAUCCUCCUGUGUAACAGUUUAAGUUUGUGAGUUGAUCCUAUGUUCGUGUUAGCAAGUCUAAUUAGGCGUGUUCUGAUGAUAGUGAAGAAGAAAAGUGUCUUCUAAUGUGGUGGUGCCAAACAAAAGUUUUAUGCUUAUGUUGAGCUUACUUUUAAUAUGUGAACAUGACAAUUUAGAGGCUAUACUGAAGUUCCACUCAUUUUAUUCUGUGUGUUGAGCUUACCUUUGUAUGUCAGGAUUUUUUCUUCAUCUGUUACCCUUCCUUUGGCUGUAGUUUAUCUUUGUAUAGAAACCAAUCUUGGUGUUCUUCCUAUUUGCAUUUGAUUUACAUUUCGAAAUUCCCUAGCACAACUAUAUAUAACAAUGUCGGUAUGUGUUUUCUUAUUUUAGUGUCUAUAGUACAUUUGCAUGAUGUUGAAUUAUGUGCUACAGAAUAUACAUUAGCUGAUUUAAACUGCUAUUUUCCUAUGCCUAAUCAAAUGCCCUUUGUUUUUGCAGUAUGCAUACCCAGGUCAAACUUGCGAUCAUGGUGAAGGUGCUGAUCUAGGUUUCCUAUCUUCAGAAGUGAAAUGUUUGCUUGCUACCUUCUUUUGGGUACUGCUUUCUAAUCAAGUUCUUGAACACAAGAGUUACGCAUACAAAUCAUGUGCUAUUUAUGCUUAGGUUUAUGCACUGAUAGUCAUCUUCUUGUCUACUUAGCUGAAUCAUGUCUUUGUGUACUAAACAUCAAUUACUAGUAUUUGGCUUCUAUGUGCUAAUUAAACCCGAUAAAUAUAUAUAGUUCUUUGAGGUGCAAAUUCCAUAGUGCAUGUUUACGAGGUUAAGAUUCUACAGAUGUUGCAUAAUAUUGGUGACAAAGUGUCUCUCCUUAGGGGUUGAUUUAAAUAACAUAUGAUCUACUGAAAUAAAUUUUUUGGUGCCCAAACAUUGAAAUUCUGGUUCUUUGUUUCAAACACCAAAAUGUUGUUUACCUUGUCGUUCUAUGCUUAAAUGAUAAAAAUGUCUCAUUUAUAGGAAUGUAAACCUGAUGUAGAAUAGUAUUUACUUGUUGCUGUUAGUUACUACUUGUAUCCGCUGAUUUCUAUUCCUCAUUUUGCUUGUUUUACUCUUAUUUAUGCUCACGGACUGCCUACAAGUUAACAUGCUGUUAGAUUUGCCUUUACUUUGUUCCAAACCAUUUUGUUUGAUAACUUGCAGACGUUGUCCUUCAUUCAUGUUUCGUCGUGAGAUCUAGGACGAAGAAGUUGGGAGAAUCAUAAAGUUCUAGCUCAUUGGAGCUAGUUAUACUUGUAUGGCUAGUUAUUUUUUUUGGAUUUUUUAGUUGUGUUACCUGAUGUGAACUAGUUCUGAUUGUAAACCUCAUGUGAUCUUAGAACUAUUAUUGCUCUAGUCUGGUGGGAGUUGUGGAAGCAUAGGAAUGCUAUUGUUUUUGAAGGGGCGCGCCCUUGCUUGGAGUAUCUACUAGGGCGAGUGAGGCAUGAGGGCCAACUGUGGGCAUCGGCCGGGCUAAUGAAAGGGAAUGUAACUCCCUUCUUUACUAGAGUGGAGAGGUGGGAGAUGAGUGAGGAGUAAUAUGUAACAAAACCGUGUAAUUGUGGUGGAGGCUUUCUAUGCCUUUCUUCUUUAAUAUAUGAUAUGCACACUCAUGCAUAUUCGAAAAAAAUAAACCUCAUGUGAACCAUGUUUGAUUGCAAUGUGCCAAGUUUGGCUCUGUUUGAUUGUAUUCAUGAUGUGAACCAUGUUUUCAUGAUAUUUAGUUGUUCUUUGUUUGAAGCAUCGUCUAAUUAUUGGUUAUUUAUUUAUUGGAUCAUUGAAAUCUGAGGAAUAUAACCUUGACA